GGCUGUGAGGGCGGCCAGGCUGGACUGUCUAUCACACCAUGAUUUCCAGGGUUCAUUCGGCUGUUCUGGCUGGCUAGCCAGGUGCAUCCUUCCCCCUUUACUGCUGCACUGUGUCCAGAAGCUGGGCUUCCGGUCCCAAAGGGUGACCGUCUCUGAUAGAGAAGGACCAUUCUUUGGUCAAGGGCAUACAAAUAGCUGCAUUCCCCUUUUAGAACCUCCAGACAGGCUCUCAAGAACAAGCCUGUCUCUUUUGUUAAAUAUCUUUACAAAAUACUCCAU
This 279-nucleotide small nuclear RNA is filed under the name Nannospalax galili (Upper Galilee mountains blind mole rat). RNAcentral's name for it is "7SK RNA (ENSNGAG00000005603.1)". It matches the Rfam family "7SK RNA", at positions 1 to 290 of the family's 331-position model. Rfam says of the family: 7SK was discovered as an abundant small nuclear RNA in the mid-70s but a possible function has only recently been suggested. Two independent studies have found that 7SK RNA binds the CDK9/cyclin T complex (known as elongation factor P-TEFb). P-TEFb activates transcription by phosphorylating the C-terminal domain of RNA polymerase II. The record is from RNAcentral. Lineage: Eukaryota; Metazoa; Chordata; Mammalia; Rodentia; Spalacidae.